This 6317-nucleotide long non-coding RNA is filed under the name Homo sapiens (human). RNAcentral's name for it is "non-protein coding SPACA6P-AS:4". Lineage: Eukaryota; Metazoa; Chordata; Mammalia; Primates; Hominidae. The record is from RNAcentral.
CUCUCCUGCGCCUCCUCCUCGCUCUGUGCGUGCUCUCUCGCUCUCUCUCUCCCUCUCUCCCUCCCUCCCUUCUCUCUCGUUCUCUCUCUCUCUCUCUCCCUCUUUCCCUCCUCCUCUCUGCUCCUGUCAUUCUUGGUUGCUUUUGCUGCCUCUCUGUGUCUCUUUCCGUCUGUCCUCCCUUCUGUCUCUGCACAUCUGUCCUUCCUUUCGCCCUCUCCCUAUCUCCAUCCUCUUUCUCUGCCUGUGGGGCAUUAUCUGUGUCUCCCAUUUAUUCUUCCCUUUUCUCUGUUUCUCUCCCUCCCUUCCUGUCUCUGUGUCUCUGUUCUUCCUCUCUCUCGCUUUCUCCUCCCCUCUCUCCCCGAACCAGUCAGGGUCUGCCCGUCUCUCUCUCCCCCUUCCUGCUCUCCCAGCUUCGCCCCCACCAGCUUUAGUAUCUCCACCCCCCACCCCCACCCACUGGGGGCUCAAAGGUGAAUCAGACCCGAAUCUGCCCUUGCAGAUGGAGCUCACAGUCUGAUGGAAGAGACAGAGCCAGCCGCAGACAGUCCCAAUCCCGGGUGAUCUGGGUAUGACACAGGGAGAGGCCAGAGGCUGUGAGAGCCCAGGGCGGGAGGAAUCCUGGCAGCUGGAGACGGCAGAGAGGACCUCCAGAGAAGGCGUGGUUGUGGCAUGACCUCCACUAAGGCCCUUCCAGGCAGAGGGCACAGCUGAAGCGAAGGCCCAAGGCAGGAAACCAAGGAGGUGCUGGGAGGACAACAAAGCCCUUAAGUCUGACUAGAGCCUCCGAAGCCAGGAGCCAAGGAGCACAGGAGAUGAGGCUGGUGGGGCGAGCGGGCGGGGUCAGAUUCUUAGGGAGUUUCAGGCCAGGCUGGGAACUUAGCCUUCUGAGGGUGACAGGGAGCCCUGGAAGGUUGUGAGCAAGGGGCGGGGACACGGUUAUAGCUGAAUGUCAGACCCCGCUGAGGCUGUGUGGAGUGGAGGGGGAGAGACGGGUGGAGGCUGGGGAGGAGGCCCCCUCCCUGCAGUUUGCGGGCUAGGACCUGGGGAGAGAGGAAGGGGUGGGGCAGGAAUGUGAGGAGCUGGAGAUGGCUGGAGACUGCUGGGCACUGGGGGCAGAGAACAGGAACCUGUGGGCGGGAAACAGGUAGGAAAACUACAACUCCCUGAGUCUGGCCCAGGAACGGAUGGGGCAGGAGUUGCUUUCAAUGGGGAACUAGGAGGAAGAAGAGGGUAGAGGAGAGAGAUGCUGUGGGCAUCUGAGAACUUAGUGGACAUUAAGAGCCAGGGAAAACGUUCAGGAUGCAUGGUGCUGGGCUUUCAACAGUGCAUCUCCCUCCCUCCCUAUCCUCCAGCCACCCAGUUCUCCUCUCUGGGGACAGCAUAUAUUCACUAAUUUCUUAUGUAUCUUUCCAGAGGAAUUUUAUACAUCUAUGCACAUAUAUACCACCCUCCUCUUUUCUGUCCCCUGAUAGGAUCACAUUAUUCUGCACCUUGGUUUUUUUUUUUUUUUUUACAUGAUAUCCAAAGAUCCUCCCAUAUCUAGGCUUAUAGAACCUCCUCAUUCAUUUUAAUAGUGAUAUAAUAUUCCAUUGUAUUCAUCUAUUUAUUCCUAGUGUAUUCAGUUAAUUGGGAGAUUGGGAGGUUUUUUAUGUCAAGAAACUAAUGGUUAUGCAUAUUGAUAUUUACAGAUUUGCUUAUGUAUGUAUGUAUGUAUGUAUGUAUGUAUGUAUGUAUGUAUGUAUUUAUUUUUGAGACGGAUUGCCCAGGCUGGAGUGCAGUGGCAUUAUCUCAGAUCACUGCAACCUCUGCCUUCCAGGUUCAAGCCAUUCUCCCACCUCAGCCUCCCACGUGGUUGGAACUACAGGCCUGCGCCACCAGGCCCGGCUAAUUUUUGUGUAUUCUGUAGAGAUGGGGUUUUGCCACGUUUGCUGGACUGGUCUUGAACUUCUGACCUCAAGUGAUCCUCCCACCUUGGCUGAGCCACCACACCUGGCCCAAAUUUGCUGAUUUUUAAAGUGAUUUUGUCCAAUGCUUUUAAGCCUCUAAACCCAGAUAUUCGAUAAAUGCUUACUUCUAGAUCCUUUAAAAUUUGUUGAUAAUUACUAACAAUGGGAUAAUAAUAAUGACAACAGAUACCCUUUAUUGAAUGACUACUUGGAGCCAGUUCCUGGGAUGAGUAUUUGUUAUACAUUAUAUCAUUGAUUACACAGAAACCUUAUUAUUAGAAACUAUUAUUAUCCCAAUUGUAAGGAUGGAAUACUGAAUAGGAUGCAGUUCUGAAUAGCGAGUUGCCCAAGCUCACAAAGUAUGUGAUGGAGCUAGAGAUUCAAACCCAGGCCUCUCUGGCUCCUUCUUUGGGGUGGGCUUGCUCUGGGAAAAUAUGCUAUUUCUAAGGAUUGACACUGGGUACAUUUAAACUUGUCAUGCACACAAAUUCAUGUAUGAUUAAGAAGGACCCUUUGUCAGACCCCUCACUUUCACUUACGAUCUAGAGUUACUGUCAUUCUACAUUCACCCUGGAUGCCCUGUAGACAGAUCAGGACAGGCACCACAUCACAGUCCUUGUCCUGGCCCUGAUCCUGUUGUGUUGUGAUUUUCUACGUCUGGGUCUGUCUUUGGGAAUUUACUGAGGGCACAGUCUGGGUCUGAGUCAUUUCUGUGUCCUCAAUAUCACUCCACCCAGGCAUGGCUCAGAGCAGGGGCUCAGGAAAAUGUUUGCUAAGUGAAUGAAUGAGGAGAUGAGUGAAUAAUAAAUGACUUGUGGAUUAGGCUGGGACUUGCUUAAGCCCCCCAGGAACAGUGACCAUAAUUCCCAUUAGUUUCUGAAACAUAAGGCCUCUGUUCUGUUCUCAUCAGUUAGCAAGUCACAGGGACCACUGGUUCCUUCAUUCUCUGAAAUACAGGGCUCCAAAUCUCUCAGCACAUAAGACUCAUCUACUGCAAUUCCUACAAAUAUCCAGAACUCAGGAUCCAUCAUUGCCUUCACUCCCUGAAACAGGGGGCCACCAUUCCCAUCAGACAUUGGCACACAAGUACAGGUUGAGCAUCCUUAAUGCAAAAAUCUCGAAUCUGAAAUGCUCCAAAAUCAAAAACUUUUUGAGCACCGACGUAACGUCAGAAGUGAAAAAUUUCAUUCCAUCACUUGAUCUCAUGUGAUAGAUUGCAGUCAAAACUUUGUUUCAUGGGGCUGGGCACAGUGGCUUAUGCCUGUAAUCCAGCUGUUUGGGAGGCUAAGGCAGGAGGAUCACUUGAGCCCAGGAAUUUGAGACCAGCCUGGGCAACAUAGUGGGAUUCCCAUCUCUACAAUAAAAAAAUUUAAAACUUAGCAGGGCAUGGUGAUGCAUGCUUCUUCUCCCAGCUACUAGGGAGGCUGAGGUGGGAGGAUUGCUUAAGCCCAGGAAGUUGAGGCUGCACUCCAGCCUGGUUGAUAGAGUGAGACCCUGUCUUAAAACAAACAAAAAACCUUGUUUCAUGCACAAAAAUAUUGUAUAAAAUUAUCUUCAGGCUAUGUGUAGAAGGCAUAUAUAAAUGAAAUGAAAACAAAUGAAUUUUGUGUUUGGACUUGGGUCUCAUCCCCAAAUAUCUGAUUUUAUAUAUAUGAAAAUAGUCCAAAAUACAAAAUAAAAAAAUCAAACCUGAAACACUUUCUGUCUCAAGUAUUUUGGAUAAGGGAUGCUCAACCUAUAUCACCAUCUUUAUCAGUCUCUGCUACCCAAUAUUGUAAUUCUCAUACUUCUUAGACACAGGGGCCACCAUUCUCAUCAACUGCUGAAACUCAAGUUCCACUAUUAUUACCUCUUGGAACAGCACUUCAAAGGAAAAUAGAAACUUCCUACCCUUCACAAGGUCAUCCCAAGUUCCUGAAACAGGAACUGGUAGACAGGAGGACACCUUAACCUACCUUGAAUUAGGUCUGAGUCAAGGACUUACACGUUGAUACUAUAGAACAGGCGGCACCGGGUCAUGAGGAACAUCAAAGUAGCAGAGAAUCCUUCCAUGUGAGGGAUCAACCCUAAAACCAAGAUAAUCCGAUAGCACCACCAGACAAUCCUUCCAUGUGGGGGGAUCAACCCCAAACCCAAGAUAAUCCUAGAGCACCACAUAAUCCCUGCAGGUGGGAUAAUCCCCACACUGGCAGAGCCUAAAAUCACGAGAUGAUCUAAAUCAAGCUUGUCCAACCCACAGCCCAUGGGCCUCAUGUGGCCCAGGAUGGCUUUGAAUGUGGCCCAACACACAUUCAUAAACUUUCUUAAAACAUUGAGGUUUUGGGUUUUUUUUGCAAAUUUUUUUAAGCUCAUCAGCUAUCAUUAGUGUUAAUGUAUUUUAUGUGCAGCCCAAGACAAUUCUUCCAGUUUGGCCCAGGGAAGCUGAAAGAUUGGACACCCCUGAACUAAAAGCAGCAGAUUCUCCUAUUACACCAUUAAAUAACCCCAAAUGGUAAUUUGCCCCUGGUGGACUUGUAGGAAGUAGAGACAGGGUCCCCAUUGUUGUCGGGUCUGGGCUGGGGGAAGUGGGGAGGCAACAGAUCUCAUUUCCACAAUUAAUUAUUUUCUGAACAAAGGGCAUGGGAAAAUGGGUGUGAUGUUUUGGGGAGGGUUUCCCUAUAGCCUUUCUCUUCACCUUGGGCCAUACCUUCUUUUUGUUUGAUGAGUGAAGGACCUUCAGCUGCUCUGCUGUUUACAUCUAAGAAAAAGGUAGGGAAGGUUACACUGAGGUUCAAGGAGACAGACUAGUUAUAGUUUUUGCAAGUCCGUCAGCUGCCAUCUCCUCCUACCUCUGAUAAUAGAUCAUCUCUUUCCUUUAAGUAACCCACUCCACAUGACUCUGACAAGAAUGUCCAAGCACUGAUGCCCCUCCUUCUCCCCCCAAAAAAACCUAGUCUGGGCAUCUGGGUAUAUGACACAAAAUAGGCCAACCAGAAUAUUUAUCAUUCAUUGUCUGUGAGCCCUGACAGAGCUGGUUAGAAUCCAAGAUUUUAUUUUUGAUCUUGAUACUUUAAUUUUAUGUCUUCUAAAAUAUAAAUGUAUACAUAUGCAUUUGUACACAUAUAUAUUGUUUUAGUUUCUGAAGAACAGAGUCAUACUACAUAUGCCAAGGUGAUUAAGAGCACAGAUUCUGAAGCCCGAUGGCUCAGGUUUGAAUCCUGGCUCAGCCAUUUUACUAGCUAUGUCUCUCUAUGUCUCAGUUUCAUCAUCAGUAAAAUGGGUGUAAUAAUAAUAGUACCUAUAUCAUGGGUUGAGACAUAAGGAUUAAAGGAGUUAAUGUAUGGAAAGUGCUUAAAACAGUGCCUGGCACACAAUAAACCAUAUAAAAGAAUUAUCGAAUGUUAUGCCUACAAAUUAAUACAGAGCUAGCUCUUUAUUCUAAUUUAUUCAUACACAUGCACAGAAUUUUAUAUUAACAGGGCAAUUUAUUCUUAUGAAGGUAUUUUUACUGUAUUCUUUCCCAUCCUCAUUUAUUUUUUUCUUUGGUUACCUUGAUUGACCCCUCCCUUCCUACCCAUUCACCAGGUGCUUCUCCUCCCAAAGUUAUCUGUCAUACCUGUUGUGAGUUAAAUUGUGUCCCCACCCCACCAAAUAUAUAUGUUAAAGUUUGAAUCCCCUGUACCUGUGAAUGUGACCUUCUUUGAGAGCCUUUACAGAUGUAAUCAAGUUAAAAUGAAGGCAUACUGGAUUAGAGUGGGCCCUAAAUCCAAUGACUGGUAAUCUGAUAAGGAGAGAGAUAUUUGAAGAUGCAGAUAAAAUACUUGGGAAGAAGGCCAUGUGAUGAUGGAGGCAGAGAGAUUCAAGUGAUGCAUCUACAAGCCAAGAAACACCAAGGAUGACUGGCAACCACCAGAAGCUAGAACAAGAAACCAAGGGGCCUACAGAGGAAGCUGGUCCUGCUGAUACCUUCAUUUCUAACUUCUAGCCUCCACAUCUGCGAGAGAAUACAUUUCUGUUUUUGCUUGUUUGUUUUGAGGUGGAGUCUCCCUCUGCCACCCAGGCUGGAGUGCAGUGGCAUGAUCUUGGCUCACUGCAGUCUCCACCUCCUGGGCUCAAGUGAGUCUCCUGCCUCAGCCUCCCAAGUAGCUGGGACUACAGUCACCUGCCACCAUGCCUGGCUAAUUUUCGUAUUUUUAGUAGAGACAGGAUCUUACCAUGUUGGCUAGGCUGGUCUCAAACGCCUGACCUCAAGUGAUCUGCCCGCCCUCAGUCUCCCAAAGUACUGGGAUUACAGGCAUGAUACACUGUGCCCGGAUAAUUUCUGUUGUUUUAAGCUGCUCAGUUUAUAAUACUUUAUUACAACAGCCCUAGAAAACCAAUAUAGUAUCCAUG